RNAcentral lists this ribosomal RNA (392 nucleotides) under uncultured bacterium. RNAcentral's name for it is "bacterial SSU rRNA". It matches the Rfam family "Bacterial small subunit ribosomal RNA", at positions 28 to 419 of the family's 1533-position model. The record is from RNAcentral.
GACGAACGCUGGCGGCGUGCUUAACACAUGCAAGUCGAGCGGUAAGGCCCUUUCGGGGGUACGACGAGCGGCGAACGGGUGAGUAACACGUGGGUGACCUGCCCUCAGCUCUGGGAUAAGCCUGGGAAACCGGGUCUAAUACUGGAUAUGACUCCAUGACGCAUGUUGUGGGGUGGAAAGCCUUGUGCGGCUGAGGAUGGGCCCGCGGCCUAUCAGCUUGUUGGUGGGGUGANGGCCUACCAAGGCGACGACGGGUAGCCGGCCUGAGAGGGCGACCGGCACACUGGGACUGAGACACGGCCCAGACUCCUACGGGAGGCAGCAGUGGGGAAGUCUUGCGCAAUGGGCGAAAAGCCUGACGCAGCGACGCCGCGUGAGGGAUGACGGCCUGG